RNAcentral lists this ribosomal RNA (468 nucleotides) under uncultured bacterium. RNAcentral describes it as "partial 16S ribosomal RNA". It matches the Rfam family "Bacterial small subunit ribosomal RNA", at positions 28 to 507 of the family's 1533-position model. The record is from RNAcentral.
GACGAACGCUGGCGGCGUGCUUAACACAUGCAAGUCGAACGGAAAGGCCCUGCUUUUGUGGGGUGCUCGAGUGGCGAACGGGUGAGUAACACGUGAGUAACCUGCCCUUGACUUUGGGAUAACUUCAGGAAACUGGGGCUAAUACCGGAUAGGAGCUCCUGCUGCAUGGUGGGGGUGGGAAAGUUUCGGCGGUUGGGGAUGGACUCGCGGCUUAUCAGCUUGUUGGUGGGGUAGUGGCUUACCAAGGCUUUGACGGGUAGCCGGCCUGAGAGGGUGACCGGCCACAUUGGGACUGAGAUACGGCCCGGACUCCUACGGGAGACAGCAGUGGGGAAUAUUGCACAAUGGGCGGAAGCCUGAUGCAGCAACGCCGCGUGCGGGAUGACGGCCUUCGGGUUGUAAACCGCUUUCGCCUGUGACGAAGCGUGAGUGACGGUAAUGGGUAAAGAAGCACCGGCUAACUACGUG